GAUGAACGCUGGCGGCGUGCCUAAUACAUGCAAGUCGAGCGAACAGACGAGGAGCUUGCUCCUCUGACGUUAGCGGCGGACGGGUGAGUAACACGUGGAUAACCUACCUAUAAGACUGGGAUAACUUCGGGAAACCGGAGCUAAUACCGGAUAAUAUAUUGAACCGCAUGGUUCAAUAGUGAAAGACGGUUUUGCUGUCUCUUAUAGAUGGAUCCGCGCCGCAUUAGCUAGUUGGUAAGGUAACGGCUUACCAAGGCAACGACGCGUAGCCGACCUGAGAGGGUGAUCGGCCACACUGGAACUGAGACACGGUCCAGACUCCUACGGGAGGCAGCAGUAGGGAAUCUUCCGCAAUGGGCGAAAGCCUGACGGAGCAACGCCGCGUGAGUGAUGAAGGUCUUCGGAUCGUAAAACUCUGUUAUUAGGGAAGAACAAAUGUGUAAGUAACUAUGCACGUCUUGACGGUACCUAAUCAGAAAGCCACGGCUAACUACGUG
RNAcentral lists this ribosomal RNA (497 nucleotides) under uncultured bacterium. RNAcentral describes it as "partial 16S ribosomal RNA". It matches the Rfam family "Bacterial small subunit ribosomal RNA", at positions 28 to 507 of the family's 1533-position model. The record is from RNAcentral.